RNAcentral lists this non-coding RNA (24 nucleotides) under Mus musculus (house mouse). Lineage: Eukaryota; Metazoa; Chordata; Mammalia; Rodentia; Muridae. The record is from RNAcentral.
GUGUCUAGUCUCAAGAGACAGUUC